This 446-nucleotide ribosomal RNA is filed under the name uncultured prokaryote. Its description in RNAcentral is "bacterial SSU rRNA". It matches the Rfam family "Bacterial small subunit ribosomal RNA", at positions 355 to 796 of the family's 1533-position model. The record is from RNAcentral.
UCGAGAAUCUUCGGCAAUGGGCGAAAGCCUGACCGAGCGACGCCGCGUGCGGGAUGAAGGCCUUCGGGUUGUAAACCGCUGUCAGAGGGGAUGAAAUCUCUGGGGGCUAUCCCUCAGAGUUGACACAUCCUCAGAGGAAGUCCGGGCUAAGUUCGUGCCAGCAGCCGCGGUAAGACGAACCGGACAAACGUUAUUCGGAAUCACUGGGCUUAAAGGGUACGUAGGCGGCGCGGCAAGUUGGGUGUGAAAUCCCUCGGCUCAACCGAGGAAUGGCGCCCAAAACUGCCGUGCUAGAGGGAGACAGAGGUGAGUGGAACUUAGGGUGGAGCGGUGAAAUGCGUUGAUAUCCUAAGGAACACCAGUGGCGAAAGCGACUCACUGGGUCUCUUCUGACGCUGAGGUACGAAAGCUAGGGGAGCGAACGGGAUUAGAUACCCCCGUAGUCC